AGAGUUUGAUCCUGGCUCAGAACGAACGCUGGCGGCGUGGAUAAGACAUGCAAGUCGAGCGCUGAUUACAGGGUAGCAAUAUUCUGUAGUUGGAGCGGCGCAAGGGUGCGUAACACGUGGGUAAUCUGCCAUGAAGUCUGGAAUAACCUGCUGAAAGGCGAGCUAAUACCGGAUGUGAACAUCGGGCGGCAUCGUUUGAUGUUCAAAGUUGGGGACCGUAAGGCCUGACGCUUCAUGAUGAACCCGCGGCCUAUCAGCUAGUUGGUGAGGUAACGGCCCACCAAGGCUAAGACGGGUAGCUGGUCUGAGAGGACGACCAGCCACACUGGAACUGAGACACGGUCCAGACACCUACGGGUGGCAGCAGUCGAGAAUUUUUCACAAUGGGCGAAAGCCUGAUGGAGCGACGCCGCGUGGGGGAUGAAUGGCUUCGGCCCGUAAACCCCUGUCAUUCGCGAACAAUGCCUGCGGUCUAAUACGUCGCAGGUUGAUAGUAGCGGAAGAGGAAGGGACGGCUAACUCUGUGCCAGCAGCCGCGGUAAUACAGAGGUCCCAAGCGUUGUUCGGAUUCACUGGGCGUAAAGGGUGCGUAGGUGGUCGGGUAAGUCUGAUGUGAAAUCUCGGAGCUCAACUCCGAAACGGCAUUGGAUACUAUCCGGCUGGAGGGUUGGAGGGGGGACUGGAAUUCUCGGUGUAGCAGUGAAAAUGCGUAGAUAUCGAGAGGAACACCAGUGGCGAAGGCGAGUCCCCUGGACAACUCCUGACCCUAAGGCACGAAAGCUAGGGGAGCAAACAGGAUUAGAUACCCUGGUAGUCCUAGCCGUAAACGGUGCACGUUUGCUGUAAAAGGAAUCGACCCCUUUUGUGGCGUAGCUAACGCGUUAAACGUGCCGCCUGGGAAGUACGGUCGCAAGAUUAAAACUCAAAGGAAUUGACGG
This 938-nucleotide ribosomal RNA is filed under the name uncultured Verrucomicrobiales bacterium. RNAcentral's name for it is "bacterial SSU rRNA". It matches the Rfam family "Bacterial small subunit ribosomal RNA", at positions 8 to 916 of the family's 1533-position model. Lineage: Bacteria; Pseudomonadati; Verrucomicrobiota; Verrucomicrobiia; Verrucomicrobiales. The record is from RNAcentral.